AAAACGGAGUGGUCGUGAUGGAGUGGGACAUGGGCAGCGGACUGAAUGAAGUGCGUAUCGAAAACGUUCAUGUCACCGAUGGCGAACGUCACGAGAUUAUCGCCAAACUGAUGACCGAGAACCAAGCUUAUCUCUCAGUCGAUGGAACCACUAAGAUAGCACAAUCCAACGGAUUUGCUAACGUUAUGAGUGCUGUUUUAUUUUUAUUAACGUUAGAAACGUCUACAUAGGUGGUAUACCGGACCGUUUGAACUACAACCGGUACCCGGGUCUAGUUGGCUGCAUCGAACAAGUCGAGCUGAUGGAGAUGGAUCGUGGCAUCAAGCUCGGUCGCACUGCGGUCGCCGGCAGAAACACCCAGCGAUGCAGGGAGUGACGGAUCGCUUUAAGGAGAUCGACCUAAAUAAUGUUAAUCAAUGAUAUAAUGUCAAUUUAAUGUAUUUUCUGCAAUUUGUGUACCUACUGUAAUCUCUUGCGUUGCCAGCGACUAUCUCAUGUCAGUUGUUCAAAUAUAUAUUUACCAUUUUAGUAUAUAAUUAGCUCUCGAUU
Long non-coding RNA from Papilio machaon (common yellow swallowtail), 549 nucleotides. RefSeq lists it as uncharacterized. Lineage: Eukaryota; Metazoa; Arthropoda; Insecta; Lepidoptera; Papilionidae. The record is from RefSeq and is a predicted model, not a curated record. The transcript has 4 exons.